Molecule: long non-coding RNA, 1005 nt
Filed under: Gallus gallus (chicken)
Lineage: Eukaryota; Metazoa; Chordata; Aves; Galliformes; Phasianidae
Description: lncRNA (ENSGALG00010020000.1)
Source: RNAcentral
AUCUCUUCCUGGAGAUUGUUCUUUGUGGAGUUUUUGCAAGCCUACAACACGGAUGUCAUCUAGAAGAUGUUCUCCAGCAUCCAAGGAUGUGGUUCGUUUCUAACAUGGAGCAGGUGAGGGAACUUGGAUCAUUUCUUCUGGGACUUUGUGUUGCACCGAAGUAGAAGACAUUCCUCUUAAUCAAACCAGUUUAACUUCACUGAAAUGCUGGAUCAACCCGCAGAAUGCACUGCAAACUGUCUGGAUGCGAUUGCAUUUAUUGUAAAAUUCAAAUCAUGUCAAACAUCAAGAAGAGGUGGAAGAAAGAAGCAUGCUUUCACAGCAGCGAGCAUUUUGUUUUUGACUGUGGGGUUCCUCUAAGAACUGACUCCAAAUGUAACUGAUGCCUUCAGAAAGCUCUGUCCCCCGCAACUCUGAACUGUGAGCAGGUGAAGAGUCUCAGGAAAUGGAUCAGCCUUGCCAUCAGCCCCAGAGGCACAGAGGACCUUCUGAAUGUGGUGAGAUGGGGUCACUACACACCUGGAAGAAAAGACAGACUGAACUUCUCACCCCAUUCUAUGCAACUUGGUCAUACCGAGGCUAUGCCAGGCUGAGGAGUUGCACUGCAGUGUUCUGAUGCUGCUGGAGUUUCUGUGACAAGAUCAGGACACUGUUCACUGCACUGGGAGGGAGCCUCUUAGCCAAAGGCAGAUUCUAUGGUGUUGGAGUUAAAUAGCAGAGAAGAAUCAGAGCCUGCUCCUAAACAACAGUAAGAUCUCAGCAAAAUUCAUGUGUGACUCCUCUGAAAUGAGAGUUCACUGUUCGCUUGUACUGACAGCUCUUGAAAAUGCCACCAGGGAUAUUUUUCCCCAUACAUCUUCACAGUUUUGUCUUUCCUGUGCCCAUCUUCUCCUAGAUAGGCUCAUUUCAACAGAUGUCUGAACCAUUCUGCUGAUACGUUGAUCCUGCACUGAUAAAGCCAACCAUUCACUUAACUUUUACAUUAAAUAAUGAACUUGAGUAAUC